CGCACAAGCGGUGGAGCAUGUGGCUUAAUUCGAUGCAACGCGAAGAACCUUACCUACUCUUGACAUCCAGAGAAUUUAGCAGAGAUGCUUUAGUGCCUUCGGGAACUCUGAGACAGGUGCUGCAUGGCUGUCGUCAGCUCGUGUUGUGGAAUGUUGGGUUAAGUCCCGCAACGAGCGCAACCCUUAUCCUUUGUUGCCAGCGAUUCGGUCGGGAACUCAAAGGAGACUGCCGGUGAUAAACCGGAGGAAGGUGGGGAUGACGUCAAGUCAUCAUGGCCCUUACGAGUAGGGCUGCACACGUGCUACAAUGGCGUAUACAAAGAGAAGCGACCUCGCGAGAGCAAGCGGAACUCAUAAAGUACGUCGUAGUCCGGAUUGGAGUCUGCAACUCGACUCCAUGAAGUCGGAAUCGCUAGUAAUCGUAGAUCAGAAUGCUACGGUGAAUACGUUCCCGGGCCUUGUACACACCGCCCGUCACACCAUGGGAGUGGGUUGCAAAAGAAGUAGGUAGCUUAACCUUCGGGAGGGCGCUUACCACUUUGUGAUUCAUGA
RNAcentral lists this ribosomal RNA (552 nucleotides) under uncultured bacterium. RNAcentral's name for it is "bacterial SSU rRNA". It matches the Rfam family "Bacterial small subunit ribosomal RNA", at positions 922 to 1474 of the family's 1533-position model. The record is from RNAcentral.